UACGGAGGGUGCAAGCGUUAUCCGGAUUCACUGGGUUUAAAGGGUGCGUAGGUGGGUUGGUAAGUCAGUGGUGAAAUCCCCGAGCUUAACUUGGGAACUGCCACUGAUACUAUCAGUCUUGAAUACCGUGGAGGUCGGCGGAAUAUGUCAUGUAGCGGUGAAAUGCUUAGAUAUGACAUAGAACACCAAUUGCGAAGGCAGCUGACUACGCGAGUAUUGACACUGAGGCACGAAAGCGUGGGGAUCAAACAGG
RNAcentral lists this ribosomal RNA (253 nucleotides) under uncultured bacterium. Its description in RNAcentral is "partial 16S ribosomal RNA". It matches the Rfam family "Bacterial small subunit ribosomal RNA", at positions 524 to 776 of the family's 1533-position model. The record is from RNAcentral.